This 427-nucleotide ribosomal RNA is filed under the name uncultured bacterium. Its description in RNAcentral is "bacterial SSU rRNA". It matches the Rfam family "Bacterial small subunit ribosomal RNA", at positions 958 to 1392 of the family's 1533-position model. The record is from RNAcentral.
AACGCGAAGAACCUUACCAGGGCUUGACAUCCCUCUGACGGAUGCAGAGAUGUAUCUUCCCUUCGGGGCAGAGGUGACAGGUGGUGCAUGGUUGUCGUCAGCUCGUGUCGUGAGAUGUUGGGUUAAGUCCCGCAACGAGCGCAACCCUUGCCGUGUGUUGGUCGCAAGAUCUCUCACGCGGGACCGCCGGUGACAAGCCGGAGGAAGGUGGGGAUGAUGUCAAGUCAGCAUGGCCCUUACGUCCCGGGCUACACACGUGCUACAAUGGGUGGUACAAAGGGCAGCGAAGCCGCGAGGUGGUGCGAAACCUAAAAAGCCGUUCGUAGUUCGGAUUGCAGGCUGCAACUCGCCUGCAUGAAGCCGGAAUUGCUAGUAAUCGCGGAUCAGCAUGCCGCGGUGAAUCCGUUCCCGGGUCUUGUACACACCG